CAAGAAUUAGUUUUAUAAAAUAUUAAUUUUGGAGAUUAAAGUUAAAGAUAGUUUCUUUAUUCUUGA
This 66-nucleotide transfer RNA is filed under the name Phratora vitellinae. RNAcentral's name for it is "tRNA-Pro". The record is from RNAcentral. Lineage: Eukaryota; Metazoa; Arthropoda; Insecta; Coleoptera; Chrysomelidae.